ACUCUUCUAGUAUAAACAAUACGGAUGGCCUCCAACCAUCAAAUCUUAAACUACAAACCCUUAAGGAAGAGCA
Molecule: transfer RNA, 73 nt
Filed under: Uromastyx benti (Yemeni spiny-tailed lizard)
Lineage: Eukaryota; Metazoa; Chordata; Lepidosauria; Squamata; Agamidae
Description: tRNA-Gly
Source: RNAcentral